This 79-nucleotide small RNA is filed under the name Winogradskyella arenosi. RNAcentral's name for it is "Flavo-1 RNA". The record is from RNAcentral. Lineage: Bacteria; Pseudomonadati; Bacteroidota; Flavobacteriia; Flavobacteriales; Flavobacteriaceae.
UUGUAGCUAUGUGUGAAGUGGAACGUAGCCUUUUUGUAAUUUUUCUUUACACAAAAAGGCGGAGUGAAACGGAACUUAC